AUGGAGAAGGAGAAGAAGCUGUCCUUCUCCAUCCCUUCCAAGCUCAGGCCGCCCAAGCCGCCCCGCCCCGCCGCCGGCGCUGAUUCCUCCGCCGCCAGCGGCAACUCCGCUUCCGCGGCCGCUGCCCCCGCCCAGCAAUUCGUCACCGAGUUCGAUCCGUCGCAAACCCUAGCCGCCGGCGCCGCGUCCGCCGUCAUCGCGCCCCUCCCCAACUCCGGCCACUUCCUCAACCACCGCUCCCGCAAACCCUCCUCCCUCCCGACCCCCGAGGAGGAGGCCGCGCUUGCCGCCUCCACCGCCGGUGGCCCCACAUUCGUGCUCGACACCUCCGAGGCCCCCGACAACCCCUCCUCCCACAUAGGCUAUGGCCUCACCCGACGCGGCGCCGACGCCGACGCUGAGGCUGACGCCACGGAGCCGGGUAAGACGCAGUCUUCCAAGGAAUCAGAGAAGAAGUCGACCUCUCCAGCCAGAGAUGGCGGCUCCAGCGGUGACCUUAUGCUGCGACGGUACAAGGAAGACAUGGCCAGCCUCCCGGACCACCGUGGUAUAGACGAGUUUGAGGAGGUGCCUGUGGAGGGCUUCGGUGCUGCUCUCCUUGCUGGUUACGGCUGGUCGGAAGGCAAAGGGCUCGGCCGCAAUAACAAGGAAGAUACCAAGGUUGUUGAGUAUAACCGCCGUGCCGGUACGCUGGGAUUAGGCUACGACCCUUCUGAGGCAGAUCCUAAGAAGACUCGCUCCGGCGACUGGGUUAUUGGUGGAAAGAAGCCGACAGAGAAUGGUGGAAAGAAGUCCGCCGAGAAUGGAAAUGCAAAGAAGAGAGAUAGGGACAAGGAAGACAGAGUCCGGGAGAGGGAUUCAAGUUCCCGACAGAAGAGAUCUGGUGAUCUUAGGGCCGAGAGGGAGGUUCGAGAGAAAGAGAGAAAAUCUCGGGAUAGUCGAGAAGAAAAGAGUAGCCGCGAUGUUGGUAACAAAGUGCGCUGGUUACAGAGCAAUAUUAGGGUUAGAGUGGUUAAUGAGAGGUUCAGCAGAAGGUUGUACCUGCAGAAGGCAAAAAUUGUUGAUGUGGUUGGACCAACGACAUGUGACAUAAUGAUGGAUGAUGGGUCAGAGCUUGUGCAGGGGGUGGAGCAGGAUAUGCUUGAAACAGUCCUGCCACGGACAAACGGGCAAGUGCUUGUGCUCUGUGGGAAGCACAAGGGGGUGUAUGGGCAUCUGGUAGAGAAGAAUUCAGAGGCAGAGACUGCAGUAGUGGAGGAUGCCGAUACAAAAGACAUGGUGCGUGUGAAAUAUGAUCAGAUUGCAGAGUACGUUGGGGACCCAGAAUUGCUUGGGCAUUGA
Molecule: ribosomal RNA, 1341 nt
Filed under: Triticum aestivum (bread wheat)
Lineage: Eukaryota; Viridiplantae; Streptophyta; Magnoliopsida; Poales; Poaceae
Description: partial small subunit ribosomal RNA
Source: RNAcentral